This 197-nucleotide unclassified non-coding RNA is filed under the name plant metagenome. RNAcentral describes it as "partial contains small subunit ribosomal RNA, internal transcribed spacer 1, and 5.8S ribosomal RNA". The record is from RNAcentral.
UCUCCGUUGGUGAACCAGCGGAGGGAUCAUUACCGAGUUUACAACUCCCAAACCCCUGUGAACAUAUCUAUCGUUGCCUCGGCGGUGCCCGCUCCGGCGGCCCGCCAGAGGACCCCCAAACUCUUGUUUUAUACAGUAUCUUCUGAGUAACACGAUUAAAUAAAUCAAAACUUUCGACAACGGAUCUCUUGGCUCUC